Molecule: ribosomal RNA, 563 nt
Filed under: uncultured Glomeromycotina
Lineage: Eukaryota; Fungi; Glomeromycota
Description: SSU rRNA
Rfam family: Eukaryotic small subunit ribosomal RNA
Source: RNAcentral
UUGGAGGGCAAGUCUGGUGCCAGCAGCCGCGGUAAUUCCAGCUCCAAUAGCGUAUAUUAAAGUUGUUGCAGUUAAAAAGCUCGUAGUUGAAUUUCGGGGUUAGUAGGUUGGUCAUGCCACUGGUAUGUACUGGUCUCACUGAUUCCUCCUUCCUGAUGAGACGUAAUGCCAUUAAUUUGGUGUUGCGAGGAAUCUGGACUGUUACUUUGAAAAAAUUAGAGUGUUUAAAGCAAGCUAACGCUUGGAUACAUUAGCAUGGAAUAAUGAAAUAGGACGUUCGAUCCUAUUUUGUUGGUUUCUAGGAUUGACGUAAUGAUUAAUAGGGAUAGUUGGGGGCACUAGUAUUCAAUUGUCGGAGGUGAAAUUCUUGGAUUUAUUGAAGACUAACUACUGCGAAAGCAUUUGCCAAGGAUGUUUUCAUUAAUCAAGAACGAAAGUUAGGGGAUCGAAGACGAUCAGAUAGCGUCGUAGUCUUAACCAUAAACUAUGCCGACUAGGGAUCGGAUGAUGUUAUUUUUAAUGACUCAUUCGGCGCCUUACGGGAAACCAAAGUGUUUGGGUUC